Molecule: ribosomal RNA, 492 nt
Filed under: uncultured bacterium
Lineage: Bacteria
Description: partial 16S ribosomal RNA
Rfam family: Bacterial small subunit ribosomal RNA
Source: RNAcentral
AGUGAACGCUGGCGGUAGGCCUAACACAUGCAAGUCGAACGGCAGCACAGUAAGAGCUUGCUCUUACGGGUGGCGAGUGGCGGACGGGUGAGGAAUACAUCGGAAUCUACUUUUUCGUGGGGGAUAACGUAGGGAAACUUACGCUAAUACCGCAUACGACCUACGGGUGAAAGCAGGGGAUCUUCGGACCUUGCGCGAUUGAAUGAGCCGAUGUCGGAUUAGCUAGUUGGCGGGGUAAAGGCCCACCAAGGCGACGAUACGUAGCUGGUCUGAGAGGAUGAUCAGCCACACUGGAACUGAGACACGGUCCAGACGCCUACGGGAGGCAGCAGUGGGGAAUAUUGGACAAUGGGCGCAAGCCUGAUCCAGCCAUACCGCGUGGGUGAAGAAGGCCUUCGGGUUGUAAAGCCCUUUUGUUGGGAAAGAAAAGCAGCAGGUUAAUACCCCGCUGUUCUGACGGUACCCAAAGAAUAAGCACCGGCUAACUUCGUG